UACAAGAAUCGGGCGCGAGCCCGGCGUUGGGCACAUGCGGUGGGAAGCCCUCCCUAGCAGCGCCCCAAGUACAGCGGCAGGCGUCGCAGGCGACCCGAGCGCAGUAGCACACUCGCUCAGGGCUCCCUGUGGUGCCUAGCCCCUUAAACAACAUUGCCCCCUAUAGGGGCAACUGAC
This 177-nucleotide unclassified non-coding RNA is filed under the name uncultured Ascomycota. RNAcentral describes it as "sequence contains ITS2". The record is from RNAcentral. Lineage: Eukaryota; Fungi; Ascomycota.